This 466-nucleotide ribosomal RNA is filed under the name uncultured bacterium. RNAcentral's name for it is "partial 16S ribosomal RNA". It matches the Rfam family "Bacterial small subunit ribosomal RNA", at positions 28 to 507 of the family's 1533-position model. The record is from RNAcentral.
GAUGAACGCUGGCGGCGUGCUUAACACAUGCAAGUCGAACGGAAAGGCCCAAGCUUGCUUGGGUACUCGAGUGGCGAACGGGUGAGUAACACGUGGGUGAUUUGCCCUGCACUUCGGGAUAAGCCUGGGAAACUGGGUCUAAUACCGGAUAGGACCACAUUUUGGAUGGUGUGGUGGAAAGUUUUUCGGUGUGGGAUGAGCUCGCGGCCUAUCAGCUUGUUGGUGGGGUAAUGGCCUACCAAGGCGUCGACGGGUAGCCGGCCUGAGAGGGUGUACGGCCACAUUGGGACUGAGAGACGGCCCAGACUCCUACGGGAGGCAGCAGUGGGGAAUAUUGCACAAGGGGCGCAAGCCUGAUGCAGCGACGCCGCGUGGGGGAUGACGGCCUUCGGGUUGUAAACUCCUUUCGCUAGGGACGAAGCGUUAUGUGACGGUACCUGGAGAAGAAGCACCGGCUAACUACGUG